This 381-nucleotide unclassified non-coding RNA is filed under the name Ficus sur. RNAcentral describes it as "partial contains external transcribed spacer and 18S ribosomal RNA". Lineage: Eukaryota; Viridiplantae; Streptophyta; Magnoliopsida; Rosales; Moraceae. The record is from RNAcentral.
CCAUGCAUGGCUUAAUCUUUGAGACAAGCAUAUGACUACUGGCAGGAUCAACCAGGUAGCAUUCUUUCUCGACUUCGGACCCGCAUUGAUGCCACGGGCCUAGACGGCCUGCGGUCAAUGAGGUASCGAGAGUCAUUCUUAUCGAGGGACUUGAUUGGAGCGACCGGAGGCCAAGACCCCCCGCGUCCGCUUAAUUUUCCACAUCCGAGAGCACGAGCAGUUGUCCUGUGGACCGAGACAGCCACGACAAGAGUCGGAGGACACAUCCGGGACACGGGGACUGCUUUCGAGGUCCGCAUUGCAGCCGCAAAGCAACAAGGAGGACAGGUGCGGGGCUGUCCGACGAAUUUUUCCAUACGAUGGGAAGGCAACACAGGAACC